AUUCAACCCAUAAGGCUAAAACCCUAUCCUCUUUCUUUCUCAUUCUCAGGAAUCACAAUUGCAGCCUCUCCCUUUCCCUUCUCGCUCUUGGUCCUCCCCUCCUCACUGUGUUGUUUGUUUCUAAGUAUCGAUCCUAAAAUCCCUGUGUAGAUAUCACUCGAUCUCUCUCUACUUGCCAGCAUUGUAUUGUCAAACAAAGAAGAAGAAGAAGAAGAAUCAGGUGAGCUCGGUUAGCCUUUCUCCUCCGUCCAGCCACUGCAGUGACUUUCAGUUAAUUAGUUCAAGAAGCACUUAAAAUGAGCAAUGGGGAUCAAACUCACAAAUAUUCAAGGGAAGGCAUGCUUCAAGGGGGAGUAUUCUAUAUCUAUUAGCUUUUCUUUGUUAUUACAUUUAUGAUGUUGCUCUUGACCUGAUUAUAAUAUCUUGAUGACAUUGAAGACAAUAUCAAAUUUGAGUUUGGGGGUGCAUUUCAUGUAUUGCAUUCAUAUAUUGUAUUUCAUUAUCUUAUUAUGUCUAUAUUAUAUUUGUGUAUUAAAAAUCCAAAAAAUUUUUACAAAUUUUAAAAAUUCUGGAUUUUUCAAAAGGGUUUAAACUUAGAAUUAUAACUAAAACCUUGAUGAGCUAAUGAUUAGACUCUCUGGGAAAGAGGAAUGAAUGUAACUGGAUGGACAAAAAGGCUUUAAUAUAUUGUUUGUGAAAAACUAAAUCACCUAAGUGGAGUUAAACUAGUUAAACCCCUUCAUAGCUAUUAAUCUGUCACAUUGAACUUGCAAAAUUAGGAGAAAAUUUUUGAAAUACAAGUAA
Long non-coding RNA from Hevea brasiliensis (rubber tree), 804 nucleotides. RefSeq lists it as uncharacterized. NCBI's taxonomy places the organism in Eukaryota, Viridiplantae, Streptophyta, Magnoliopsida, Malpighiales, Euphorbiaceae. The transcript is spliced from 3 exons. The record is from RefSeq and is a predicted model, not a curated record.